Molecule: ribosomal RNA, 672 nt
Filed under: uncultured bacterium
Lineage: Bacteria
Description: bacterial SSU rRNA
Rfam family: Bacterial small subunit ribosomal RNA
Source: RNAcentral
AGAGUUUGAUCAUGGCUCAGGACGAACGCUGGCGGCGUGCCUAACACAUGCAAGUCGAACGGUCUAAUGUUCAACACUGAAUGUUUACUACAGAGAACUUGGUAAAGUCGCGGACGCGACCGAAAGAGAGCGUCGAAGCGACAAAUAAAGUGCCUACACAAUAAGGUUGGGAAUCAGUAGUGAAAAAAGAAUGUUUACUACAGAGAACUUGGUAAAGCCGCGGACGCGACCGAAAGAGAGCGUCUAAGCGACCAACAAAGUGCCAACACGGCGAGCGAAGUUGGAAAGAAGUAGAGGAACAUUGAGUGUUGGACAUUAGAUAGUGGCGGACGGGUGAGUAACGCGUGGGUAACCUACCCAUAAGUGGGGGAUGACAGUUGGAAACGACUGCUAAUACCGCAUAAGCUUCAAUUGUCAAAAGGCAGAUGAAGUAAAGGAGGCCUCUGAAUAUGCUUCCGCUUUAUGGAUGGGUCCGCGUCUGAUUAGCUAGUUGGUAGGGUAACGGCCUACCAAGGCAACGAUCAGUACCGGCCCUGAGAGGGUGGACGGCCACACUGGGACUGAGACACGGCCCAGACUCCUACGGGAGGCAGCAGUGGGGGAAUAUUGCGCAAUGGGGGAAACCCUGACGCAGCGACGCCGCGUGGAGCGAUAAAGGGCCUUAGGGUCGUA